CAAGCCAGUAAAGAACAUCCCUCCGUGGCCUCUGCAUCAGUUCCUGCUUCCUGACCUGCUUGAGUUCUAGUCCUGCAUCCUUUGGUGAUCAACAGCAAUGUGGAAAGUGUUUGAAGAGUCUGGAGAGAUGAGGUCACAGCUGGAAAUCACUUUUGAAGAUGGAACCCGGUCUGAGAAACCACCUGCUUCUUCCUUAGUGACUUUGUUCCUGCAGGCAGCCCCCUUCUCCCUCCUUUAAGGUCAACAUGACUCGGACUUCAGACAACUGGUCAUCUAAACGGGUUCUACCUGGGCUCCUGGGAAGAACACGUACUCCCUCCCUCACAGCUGGUACUGACCAUCCUCCCCAUUGACCAUUUGCUCCUAAGACAUCCUCAGAGUGCAGGAGCGCCAGCGAUCAUUCUGUGAUAAUGGGGUGAUGUCAUUGGCCAACUUUCUGGGCCAGAACUCAAUUAAAAUUCUCUGGCGUUUGGGGCCAUGACUCAUUUGGUACGGCAUUUGCACUGUGAGCAUAAGAAUAUGGAUUUGGAUGCCCAGAACCCGUACAAAAUGCCUGAUGAGGUGAUACAUACCUGUACUCCCAGGGAUAGAAAAGUGAGAGAC
This is a long non-coding RNA of Mus musculus (house mouse), 603 nucleotides long. RefSeq annotates it as expressed sequence C87198. NCBI's taxonomy places the organism in Eukaryota, Metazoa, Chordata, Mammalia, Rodentia, Muridae. The record is from RefSeq and is marked validated. The transcript has 5 exons.